GAGGACAUGACCCUAGAUAGGAAGGUCUGGAAGACGCGAAUUACGGCAGAGGAUUAGGGCCUGUUCGGGUCGCUAAUGUAGGGAGGUAAUUGGUGGGGGUGUAUUCCUGGUAUGAUUCCGUAUUCAAUGUUCUGUUCCGUGUUCCGUGUUCUAUGUUUGUUACGAAUCUGUGUGCUUUCCUCUGCUUUAUAUUCCUGCUUUCCUGCUUUACUCUGUUUUAUAUUCCUUAUGGCUGCAGUAUCUAUCUAUGUUAUGUCAUCUGCUUCUGUGCUGUACUAUGUGUUUGUUUGAUAUCUCGUAACUUGAGCCGGGGGUCUUUCGGAAACAGCCUUUCUACUUCAUCAGAGGUAGAGGUAUGGACUGCGUACAUCUUACCCCCCC
Molecule: long non-coding RNA, 381 nt
Filed under: Capsicum annuum
Lineage: Eukaryota; Viridiplantae; Streptophyta; Magnoliopsida; Solanales; Solanaceae
Description: long non-coding RNA (CANN_LNC003077)
Source: RNAcentral